GGGCCUGUAGUCUAGUAGUAAAACACCUCCCUUGCACGGAGGAGUCCCGGGUGCGAUUCCCGGCAGGUCCA
Molecule: transfer RNA, 71 nt
Filed under: Candidatus Pacearchaeota archaeon
Lineage: Archaea; Nanobdellati
Also listed under: 1 other name
Description: tRNA-Ala
Rfam family: tRNA
About the family: Transfer RNA (tRNA) molecules are approximately 80 nucleotides in length. Their secondary structure includes four short double-helical elements and three loops (D, anti-codon, and T loops).
Source: RNAcentral